RNAcentral lists this ribosomal RNA (252 nucleotides) under uncultured bacterium. Its description in RNAcentral is "partial 16S ribosomal RNA". It matches the Rfam family "Bacterial small subunit ribosomal RNA", at positions 524 to 776 of the family's 1533-position model. The record is from RNAcentral.
UACGGAGGAUUCAAGCGUUAUCCGGAUUUAUUGGGUUUAAAGGGUGCGUAGGCGGUCCGGAAAGUCAGCGGUAAAAGCCCGGGGCUCAACCCCGGCGAGCCGUUGAAACUGUCGGACUAGAGACGGCGAGAAGUACGCGGAAUGCGCGGUGUAGCGGUGAGAUGCAUAGAUAUCGCGCAGAACUCCGAUUGCGAAGGCAGCGUACCGGCGCCGGACUGACGCUGAGGCACGAAAGCGUGGGUAUCGAACAGG